GAAGGAUGACUGCCCUAUGGGUUGUAAACUUCUUUUAUAUGGGAAUAAAAUGUUCCACGUGUGGGAUUUUGUAUGUACCAUAUGAAUAAGGAUCGGCUAACUCCGUGCC
RNAcentral lists this ribosomal RNA (109 nucleotides) under uncultured bacterium. Its description in RNAcentral is "partial 16S ribosomal RNA". It matches the Rfam family "Bacterial small subunit ribosomal RNA", at positions 403 to 509 of the family's 1533-position model. The record is from RNAcentral.